Molecule: long non-coding RNA, 1357 nt
Filed under: Homo sapiens (human)
Lineage: Eukaryota; Metazoa; Chordata; Mammalia; Primates; Hominidae
Description: HSALNT0117270
Source: RNAcentral
CAAAGGCAAGAGGCCUCUCCACGCCCCUUCAGGGUUUGGGGCAGAAGGAAGCCCCAGUAGACAGGCCUUGAAGCAGGGAACCGGGAUACUCCUGGGCUCCGGGUUAAUCACAGGUGCGGCUCUGUUCAACCCACCCCUGAGGCUGCGUGCGCCCUUUCACUUGUGGGGCAAACACAACCCUCCCACCAAUUUCUGUUGUCGGUGGUUUGAACACUGAGCUGCUCCUCUCCGGAAGGAGUUUAGAUAGUCGCAGGCACCAGCAGGGAAGGGGACAGCGGAGGUGAAAUGAGAGCUGGCGCGGGCUUGUGCCCGAGGAGGAACGGUGUGAGACAGGGCUGGGGGCGGGGCGGCCUGGGAUGAGGACCUGGAGAGGUGAGUCCUUGGAGAGAAGAUCCAGGUGUGUCACUGGAGCCGUCCCAGGAGGGACUGUGGCGCCCGAGAUGCGGCUGGCAUCCGUCUGUUGGGGUCUGAGCUGUGGCGGCCACAGGGCCUGGAGAGGCUGCUGAGGCUGUUUUAAACUGUAACUGGAAGAUCAAAAAGAGUUUAGGGGAAAAUCCACGGCACCUGGACCAGCCCUCCUGGCACUGCCCUCGCAGUGCGGUUUCACAGGGGCUACUGGGAGGUGCGUCUCCCUGCCUGGACCGAGACCGGGACCAAACAGAGAAGCCUGCAGGGCCAGGAGUUCUAUGGAGAUGGCUCCUCCCAGACGGCAGUGGGGACCCUCAGGGUUGGCCACAGGCUUUGGUGAUGUCUGCAGAUAAGAUGAGAUUCUCCAUGUGGUGUUCAGGCCGUUUUCGUGAGGAAUAAGUGAAAAGCGCCUCACACAUGCUGGGGAAAGGCAAUGUCCUAUCCUAAGGCCAUGCUGAUGAUGGGGUGAGGCUGCCUUCCUGAGCCCCACCCUCCACAUCUGACCACACCUAACUCCAAACCUCUACCCACACUGCUGCCUGGCUCUGCGGGGCCGUCACCGGGCGUCGGACGGACAAUCCCAGCCUCACCCCUGCACAACCUGCUCUCCCCACUGCCUGGCUCUGUGGGGUGAGUAAACCGCAGGACUCUGAGCCUCACUUGCCCUUCUGGAAAGCAGCAGUGGGAGGGUUCCCUCAUGUUUAAGCUCCUCCCACGGUUUUUGUGACAGUCACACGUGGUGUCAGACAUCGGAGUGUGUGCAUAAACGCAAAUCGAGGCUGCUCUUGCUGCUGUUAGGACAAGGUUUUGGUCCUGAAUGCUCUGCACUUUUGAUUCUGUGAAUGAAAUAAUCCACUUUAAGGAUUAUCUGUAGUGAAGCCCUUCGUACCCUGAACAUUUUUGUGUUCUUCUGGCAGCACCAGGCUGCUGCCUCAGCCCAGGGAGGGAA